GCAAGUCGAGGGGUAACAGGGAAUGCUUGCAUUUCGCUGACGACCGGCGAACGGGUGAGUAAUGCAUAAGAAAUCUGCCCAUGAGACCGGGAUAGCCAUCCUAACGGAUGAUUAAUACCGGAUAGUAAUAUUUGAAGGCAUCUUUAGAUAUUUAAAUGCUUUAGUGCUCAUGGAUGAUCUUAUGUGACAUCAGCUAGUUGGUGAGGUAAUGGCUCACCAAGGCAAUGACGUCUAGCCGACCUGAGAGGGUGGUC
Molecule: ribosomal RNA, 254 nt
Filed under: uncultured bacterium
Lineage: Bacteria
Description: partial 16S ribosomal RNA
Rfam family: Bacterial small subunit ribosomal RNA
Source: RNAcentral